Molecule: unclassified non-coding RNA, 438 nt
Filed under: uncultured Thelephoraceae
Lineage: Eukaryota; Fungi; Basidiomycota; Agaricomycetes; Thelephorales; Thelephoraceae
Description: sequence contains ITS2
Rfam family: 5.8S ribosomal RNA (bases 1-155)
Source: RNAcentral
AACUUGUUGCAAUGUAUCUCUUGGCUCUCGCAUCGAUUAAGAACGCAGCGAAAUGCGAUAAGUAAUGUGAAUUGCAGAAUUCAGGGAAUCAUCGAAUCUUUGAACGCACCUUGCGCCCUUUGGCCAUUCCGAAGGGCAUGCCUGUUUGAGUAUCAUGAACACCUCAACUCUUCAUGGCUUGCCAUGAUGAGCUUGGACUUUGGGGGUCUUGCUGGCCUGCAGUCAGCUCCUCUCAAAUGAAUCAGCUUGCCAGUGUUUGGUGGCACCACAGGUGUGAUAAACAUCUACUCUUGUGGUCCUCCGCCAUGUAACCUUCAGUGAUGGAGGUUCACUGGAGCUCACAAAUGUCUUUCCUCAGUGAAGACAGCUCUUUGAUUGUUUGAUCUCAAAUCAGGUAGGACUACCCGCUGAACUUAAGCAUAUCAAUAAGCGGAGGCU